Callorhinus ursinus (northern fur seal) is the source of this 2540-nucleotide non-coding RNA. Lineage: Eukaryota; Metazoa; Chordata; Mammalia; Carnivora; Otariidae. The record is from RefSeq and is a predicted model, not a curated record.
UUCUCGCCUGGAGUUUGGGUCCUGCCAGAAACCAGCACAACCCCAGAAGUCUCUGGAGCCCCUGGAGGAAACAGAGUGGUUCUCGCCCUCCUAGGGGACGGGGGCUGUCCGCAGAGGCCAGCCCACGGGAACCAGCGUAGCGGCACAGCCUGCCUUCAAGGGGCUCAGGAGGGAUGACGUGGGGAGAAAGGGGUUCGAGGAGCUCGGGAUGGGAACUAGGUGCUGCAGGAGACAAAGCCCCAGACGCGGCAGGACAUCACAUUUGGACAGGGUGGACCCCAUCUGGUGCCACUCUGGUCAGGAGCACAGAUGCGCAGGGAAGUGCCAGGACCCGCCGAGGCCUGAGUGGAGGCCGAGGCCAGGAGGCCUUCUGUGUCCUUUCCACUGCUGACGGGUGAGGGUGUCCUUCCAGGUGGUGGGGCAGCCUUAGCAGGACAGAAGCCAGGAGCCAGGGAGACGAGUGUGUGUGUGUGUGUGUGUGUGUGUGUGUGUGUGUGUAAGACAGGUGCAUGGGCCCUCACUGUGCUUGCUCCCAGGAGAAAAUCUUUGUGUCUAAAACCCUGCGGGAGCCCCCAGGGUCAGGAAGGUUGCCGGGUCGAGGUUCUAAGGCAGUGUGAAUCCAGUGGUCUCACCUGUGUACUCACUGCUUCCGUCUUGCUGGUGGUUCUCCCUCUCGCCCUCCCUGCCCAGCCCAUUCAGCCUAGCUGUGCCUUUGCAAAGAGCCCAGGGUUGCGGGCCCUGUUUGUAGGUGAUUGUUUGGAUGCAUUCAUCUGUCUGCAGGAACUGGGCCCAGGCCUGGUGUUUUCUUUUAUUUUUAGACCUAUUUUUCUUUUUCCUGUUUUAUAAAAUGAGCACCACUGUGGGCCUAUCUGGACAGAGUUGGAGCAGCCUCUGGGAGGGACUGAGCACCCCAUCUCUGGAGCUGAGGGCCCCGCCAUCCACGCAGCAGCCAAAUCCAGGAGGGUGGGCAUCAUCUGGGUUCUGAGCAUGCCGUCAGCUCCUCCGUGGUCAACAGAAUGCCAGGACAUCCGCUCUCAAAGAAGUGUCUCAUCUGUUGGGGAGAUCGGGAGAUCCUUAACGCUUCACUCCCUGGGACAAGCAACAUGACAGAUUGUGGUGUCCUUCUUCCUUUCGUCCUGCUGCACGAUUCCUGGGACUCCCCUGAAUCUCCCUCUGCAAGGAACGGAGGGCACCGUCUGCGCAGGGCUGGCUUACGGUCUCUGUUCAGCCACGUCAUGGCUCCACAGAGUGGCUGGAGGCGCUGGGCACCUCACCGUGCUGGGCAGGGCUGCGCACUCCACAGGGCCAGGGAUGUGGUCUGCGAGCAGAUCAGGGGGCACGUGGUACACGGAACUCCUCUCAAUGCCUUUCAGGGGUCAGGACGGUCUCGGGGCCUGGCGGGGAUGGGCCUGCGGUUUGGAUGUGACCGUGUCUGCAGCUGCGAGGUGCCACAGGCUCGGCUCACGGGCUGUGUGGUCCUCAGCAGGUACCAGGGGACCUGGGGCAGGGGGGACUUUGUGGGCAGUUGCCUGUGGUGUAAGCCUGUUUGCCAUCUGGGGCUCCAGAGUUGCCUCCUGCCCUCUGAGUUAAUAAGAGUCAGUCCUGGGCUGAGACUUAGCCAAUCUGUUCUGUCCAUGCUCAGUGGCCUUGUUCCGGGGGAAUUUGCGUGGAGUAGAGUGUUUUCUAAUUAGCAGGACUAGGGCUCUAGGGGAGAUUUGGGGGGCAGGAGCGCGGGCAAGGGUCAGUCAUCUGUCUGUGUCACAUGGUGGGUGGGGAGGUGGCAACUGGCUCAAAACUUCCUCCACCCCGAGGACCCAGAGCUUCCUUGUCCACUAGCUGUGUUCAGGCACGAAGGGCUCUCCUCCUCUAGAAACUGCUCUUCCUUUGCUGUGUUCCUGGCUUCCUGGAGGGAGACGGAGGGAGUGGGACGGGGCAGCAAGGAGGUGGGACGGCUGCGUUCAGAGAGAGACCUGGGGUCUGGGAGGACUUCCUGUGAGAAAUGGACCCUCAGGAAGAGCCCGUCGAGAGGCUCUGCCCCAGGUGCCUCGCCUUCCUGGAGUGCUGUCCACCUCUGAAGCAUCUGUGGCAAGACAAAUAGAGAGAGAGCCAAGCCACUGGGGUGGUCAGGAUGCAUGGUUGGCGGUGACCUUAACUCAAGCAAGGUUAUCAGUUCCUAGGGCAGGGGGGGGACAGUGGGACACUCCUAGACAGAGAGGGAGCAGGGCUUUGGGAGGGGACCUCACACCACUGGGGUGUUCCCUCCAUCAGUGUCUCUGCUUCUCUCUGCAUGUCGGCCCUGUUCUCUCCUGCUGCACACCAGAGACCUUCUCCCCUGUGGGGAAACAGGAGGGUCAGCAGCAGUUAGAACUGUAGUAGAACAUCUGCCAAUUUCCUCCCCGUGAGGGCAUGUCCGUCUCAGGCCUGAGUCACACGGGUGUCCGGGGAGGCUCUCUGGGCAGACAGAAUUAGCUGCCGCAGCUCACCACCCCCACCUCAUAUUUUGAUUCACCCAGUUAGUGAGGAACCAGGUCCCAGACUGA